This 492-nucleotide ribosomal RNA is filed under the name uncultured bacterium. Its description in RNAcentral is "partial 16S ribosomal RNA". It matches the Rfam family "Bacterial small subunit ribosomal RNA", at positions 29 to 507 of the family's 1533-position model. The record is from RNAcentral.
AGUGAACGCUGGCGGUAGGCCUAACACAUGCAAGUCGAACGGCAGCACAGUAAGAGCUUGCUCUUACGGGUGGCGAGUGGCGGACGGGUGAGGAAUACAUCGGAAUCUACUUUUUCGUGGGGGAUAACGUAGGGAAACUUACGCUAAUACCGCAUACGACCUACGGGUGAAAGCAGGGGAUCUUCGGACCUUGCGCGAUUGAAUGAGCCGAUGUCGGAUUAGCUAGUUGGCGGGGUAAAGGCCCACCAAGGCGACGAUCCGUAGCUGGUCUGAGAGGAUGAACAGCCACACUGGAACUGAGACACGGUCCAGACUCCUAAGGGAGGCAGCAGUGGGGAAUAUUGGACAAUGGGCGCAAGCCUGAUCCAGCCAUACCGCGUGGGUGAAGAAGGCCUUCGGGUUGUAAAGCCCUUUUGUUUGGAAAGAAAAGCAGCAGGUUAAUACCCCGCUGUUCUGACGGUACCCAAAGAAUAAGCACCGGCUAACUUCGUG